RNAcentral lists this long non-coding RNA (289 nucleotides) under Elaeis guineensis (African oil palm). Its description in RNAcentral is "long non-coding RNA (EGUI_LNC040232)". The record is from RNAcentral. Lineage: Eukaryota; Viridiplantae; Streptophyta; Magnoliopsida; Arecales; Arecaceae.
AAGAACUCUCUCCUCUUCUUUCUGAAGAAGAAAUAUCAAGAUGCUAGAUCGGACUGAGAAAUAUGCUCGAGUUGAAAAAAUCUUUGAGAAGCAUGGGACCUCGGUCGAUAUUCCAACCGAGAAAAAGAAAGAAGAUCCAAAACUCUCCUUGAUCCGAGAGGAUCCCCCAAGAAGUUGGCAGUAGUCCAAAACCCUGCUCCGACAUUGACGAUCUAGAACUCCUCCCCAGAGCCAAUGAUCUAGAAGCCCCAGAGGACAAUGGUGCGCAUCACCAAGGAAGCCCUUGUCA